Molecule: ribosomal RNA, 427 nt
Filed under: uncultured bacterium
Lineage: Bacteria
Description: partial 16S ribosomal RNA
Rfam family: Bacterial small subunit ribosomal RNA
Source: RNAcentral
UGGGGAAUAUUGCACAAUGGGUGCAAGCCUGAUGCAGCCAUGCCGCGUGUAUGAAGAAGGCCUUCGGGUUGUAAAGUACUUUCAGCGGGGAGGAAGGUGUUGUGGUUAAUAACCGCAGCAAUUGACGUUACCCGCAGAAGAAGCACCGGCUAACUCCGUGCCAGCAGCCGCGGUAAUACGGAGGGAGCAAGCGUUAAUCGGAAUUACUGGGCGUAAAGCGCACGCAGGCGGUCUGUCAAGUCGGAUGUGAAAUCCCCGGGCUCAACCUGGGAACUGCAUUCGAAACUGGCAGGCUAGAGUCUUGUAGAGGGGGGUAGAAUUCCAGGUGUAGCGGUGAAAUGCGUAGAGAUCUGGAGGAAUACCGGUGGCGAAGGCGGCCCCCUGGACAAAGACUGACGCUCAGGUGCGAAAGCGUGGGGAGCAAACA